UUUUCUUCUAUCUUUCAUUUUUUCAAUUUUCCUCGAGCACUUUCGAUUUCACCUCUCUCCCCUCUCCCUUCUCCGUCUUCUUUCUUCUUUGUGAAAAAAACCUAGAUUUUAGACCCGCGAAACCUCCUUCAAUCUCUCUCAAGGUUUCUCAAUCUCCUUUUGUAUCUCUUUUGAACGGGAAUCAAACGCUGAGGUUUGAUGAUUCAGUUAACUAUGGAACAGAGCCAAAGCUUGCCAUGAAACCGGAGUUCCCAAUCUAAACAUUCGAGGCUGCUCUCGGAGAUAGGGUCUAGUUCGGGGCUCGAGGUCAAGAUGCAGGUGGCCGAUCUCAAUAGCUAAGUCUUCUUUCUUCCUCUAAAAUAUUUUUGUUUCUUUUAUUGAAAUGUGAUCGUCCUGUCAUGUUGUUGUGAGUGAAAAACUGGUUUGUAUGGAUGAUUUAUGAUGCCUAGGAUUGAUAGUGAAAUGCUUUAUUGGGUAAGGUUGCGUGAGAUUAUGCAGUCUUUAUUUUAUGAUUGGGGGAGCCAAAAUCUCGAAUUAGAGUUUCUGAUGGGGUUCUGGUCUCGGGUUGAAGACGAGCUGACUCGUCUCGACCCGGUGAGUUAGUGUCCGGGUUGACUCGUAUGAGUCCAUCCGAGUGAGUGACAAGCUUGGGUAAACCUGAGUGGGUCUAAUGGGCCUGAGUGGGGAAGUGGACCUGAGUAGGGAAGUGGAUCUUGUGCGAGAAUGGGCUUAGUGAGAACUAUAAACCAAAAACGGGCCGGCGAGUUUGUUGUGAAUUAAGAGUGGACUUCUGGUUUCACUUAAAGCACGGAUGGGCUAGGGCGGUUUCAGUUGGGCUUGGGUUUGGUUUAAGACACAUGAAUGCUUCAAGGGUUGUUUGAAAUGGGCUUAGGUUGAGCUAUAAAUAGGCUGGCCUGGUUUAAAAUUUAGGAAUGGGUCGGGUUUUUAGAUUGGCAAUCGGGCUCCGAGGAAGUGCCUUGGACCUAAAACCGAACUCGGGUCAGGAUGGGGGGUUGUGUUGUUAGGUUCGUAUCAGGAUCCGAAUUAGGAUCUUGGUUUUGUGAAAUGGGUUUAGAGUCUAAAAUCAAGUUUGAAUAUUGGAAUGGGAGUUGGGGGGGGGGGGGGUUGUGUUGUCAAGUUCAGAUCCAUAUCCGAAUUCGGAUCCGGGUUUGGUGAAAUGGGUUUGGAGUCUAAAAUCAAGUUUGAAGACUGGAAUGGGAGUGGGGGGUAUUUGCAGUCCAACUCACACUCAACAUGGCCCUAUAAGACUCAAGGAGAGAGCCUCGAGGGUUUUACCUUGCGCUCAGUAGGGCAUCAGGUUCGAGUGUGACUCGGAUCCCAAGGAGGAUCAUACCUGCACUUAAUUGACGCAAUUUAUAUAAAUUGAACAAACCAGCAGUGAAUGAUCUGUAUUUUACCUUUCCUUCGCACUCCUCCUUUCUCUUUCCCGGUUUGUAGAGUCUCCCCUCUGAUUCUUUCUCUCUUAUCUCCUGCAAUUUUUCUCUAUACUACCUUCUUCCCAAUUUUCUCUCAAAUCCAGCAGAGUGUUACCAUGUUCUCCUUGUGUGUCUGAAUCUCUGGUCUGGUUCUCUAGCCCUGCUUCUUCUAGCUUCUCGGAGAUUUGGCAGAGUGUCCCUCUCUUUCUUUUUCUAUUUUCCCAACAUUUCUCUACAGUCUCUGUUCCUCCCCUUUGCGGUGUGCGAGCACUCCUACUUAUAGGGAGGCUGUGGGGACCUUUGGCACAAAAAAAAAAUUCUCUACUAACUGAUUCCCCCAACUUAUUCUCUGCGCUGGUAGGGAAUUUUUCCCAACUGAUUUCAAUUUUCUUUGUGCGCACAUGUAAAUUCAUUUGCUUUAUUUUUGAUUCUCAGUUAACUGACCCUCUCUAUUCUUUUCUUUUGAGCACUGACGAACAUGGAAAGUCCAGGUGGUGGCUCCAGGAUGGAGGGCUUGGUAACUUUAUUUUUGUUUUUGCAUUUUCUUUUUCUAUUACCACUAAUUUUAUUCUUUCUUUUCCAUGCAGGUGGAUUGGAUGAUCCAGUCGAUAGUUGGCGAUUAGAGAGCUGGGCAUUUUUUUUAUUUUUGUAUUUUUAUUCAUUUUAUUUUUUUGUAAUUUUCAUGUACCCCUGCUUUUUCCUACAACUGUUAUUUGUAAACCCUUCUAUUUUGUACUUUUCUCCUUUUCCAUAUGUAACUUUCCAUUGUUCAUUGUUUGCCUAUGUAUGUACCCCAACGAGGGCACCUGCCCAUCCUAAUGCAUGAUUUCACAUUUUAAUUUUGACCUAA
Malania oleifera is the source of this 2286-nucleotide long non-coding RNA. RefSeq lists it as uncharacterized. The record is from RefSeq and is a predicted model, not a curated record. NCBI's taxonomy places the organism in Eukaryota, Viridiplantae, Streptophyta, Magnoliopsida, Santalales, Ximeniaceae. The transcript is spliced from 2 exons.